This 1492-nucleotide long non-coding RNA is filed under the name Homo sapiens (human). RNAcentral's name for it is "HSALNT0232908". Lineage: Eukaryota; Metazoa; Chordata; Mammalia; Primates; Hominidae. The record is from RNAcentral.
GGAAUAAGGGAAGGAGAAACAAAGAAGGAAAGUCCUUCAUUAAUACUUCUUCUAUAAUAAAGCCCUUAAAAACUUGUUCUUUUUUUAAACUAUUUGUUUUAAAACAGAUUUGCAUUGGCUAAAUAACAUGAUACUUUAAUCAUAAAGGUAACAUGAUCAAGCUUAGAGGCAAAAUAUGACUUUGAAUUAUCGUCACCCAUGUUGGUGUGGAUAUAUAAUGGAAUGACAAUAAGGAAACACACACACACACACACACACAUACACACACACACACAGAGAGAGAGAGAGAGAGAGAGAAAGAGAUAAGCUCCAAGCAUUAAUGUGAGUUGCUGAAAGCAAGAACACUUAAAUGUAACAAUAUAAAGAAGAAAAGGUGGCUCACAGUUUAUUUAGGUCCUUCUGCCAUAAAUACAUUUAAUAAAUUGUUGUUUCUAUGGCCUUUGCUGGCUCACUGAGUCUCUCCCAUAUGUAGCUAUAACUUGUAACAGUAAUCAGGAAAUUGCAUUAUUAGCACAAAUAUCAACCACUGAGCUUCAAAGAAGAUGAAUACUCUUCGUAGCCAAAUUGUAUUUUCAGAAUGUUGUACUUAACAUUGACCUUUAGGGGUAAGGAACAUUUAACAAUGUAAAAAAAACAACAAACCUAUUAUUAUUGAACAAGAAUAUGGUAGCAUAGCACAGCCCUUGUAUAAAUAACCACAAAAUUUAUGAGAAUAAAAAUCGGGUUUUCUGUCUCCAUCCGAUCAAACCACUACAGUUCAGGUAUAUAUUCUGUUCUAAACUUAGAUAUUAUAAAACAGAAAAUUGGUCCCAGUGACUUGGCAUUGCCAAUUAGCAUUUGAUAACAAUAAACCUCUUGCUAAACCACAGAAGUCAGCACACAAGCCAGUCGCCACUUCAUCCACAGUGCAGUAUUAACAAUCAUCCUAAUUAGAACUUGAACAGAUAGAUUUCUUUAGUCUCCUAUGUAAUCUCUUAGAAAAAAGUUCAGAAAAUUCAAAAAUAACUUACAGAUUUGUAUUUAUACUACUUUUUAUACCUGCUGGGUUUGCUUUGUCUGAAAUUUCAACCAACCCUACUUUAGGGUUAGAAUUUUACAUUUUCAAACUGAAGCACUGGAUUGUGUGGCUGAUCCUCCUCAUAACCUGAACUAUACUGGGUAAUUUUUCCCAAUAGGGGCUGGGGGAGAAGAGAUACACUGAGGAAAAUACUUUUGGUUCAGAGAAUUUAUAAAGUAGCUCUGGAUAUUACAAGAUGGGAAAAAUGUUAUUAAAAUUACAAACAUGGGUUUUCUUAGUGUCUUUAUAAAUAAAAGGCAUAGAAUACAGAAAGCCAAUUAAUAAUAACAAUAACAACAAUAAUAAAAUAUUAAAUAUAUAGUGAGCAAAGACUGAAUGGCUCAUUCUUGUGAAACACCAUUUGACGCCAUUGCCUCAAUGGGUUUCCUGACUCUAACACUUGGCUGAGUGAAAGCUCCAGCAAACACACAGUAA